RNAcentral lists this ribosomal RNA (547 nucleotides) under Alexandrium margalefii. Its description in RNAcentral is "partial Bacterial small subunit ribosomal RNA". It matches the Rfam family "Bacterial small subunit ribosomal RNA", at positions 637 to 1244 of the family's 1533-position model. Lineage: Eukaryota; Dinophyceae; Gonyaulacales; Pyrocystaceae. The record is from RNAcentral.
UAUUCUAGAUUUGAUGUGGUGUAGGAAUGUUAAUAGUAAUAGUGAAAUGUAUAUAGAAUUGGUAUAAAAUAAAUUGGAUAUUGGUAGCUUGAAAAGGUAGAUAUUCGAUUCACGAAAGCUUGAGGUGUGACAGGGAUUUGAGACCCCUUUAAUUCGAGACUGAAAUUAUGCAGGCAAUGUUUGUGGAUCUCUUUUUAACAAAUAAAGGUUCUUUUCCUAAGGAGUACGCUUUCACUUGUGAAACUUAAAUGUUCUGGUGGUGGUUUAGAACAAUAGUGGAAUAGAUGAUUUAAUUCGAUGAAAUGCGAUAAAGCUUAUCUGUUAUCUGAAAUAAUACCUAGGUAUAGGUAGAAUUCUAUUCGAGGUAGUGCAUGGCUGUUGGAGGGUAAUGUUUUGUAAUAUCUGGUUUCGGACAGGAAUAGCCGAUACACUUUUAGUUGUUAUAGGUCUUUUGCAUCUUUUCAUAUGGUCUUUUAGAUAGAAUAACGUCGAGUCAUUAUGCUCUUUAGUUCGGAGAUAUUCAUGUGUUACUAGGAGAGGUAUAUAG